RNAcentral lists this transfer RNA (92 nucleotides) under Moraxella sp. Its description in RNAcentral is "tRNA-Ser". It matches the Rfam family "tRNA". Rfam says of the family: Transfer RNA (tRNA) molecules are approximately 80 nucleotides in length. Their secondary structure includes four short double-helical elements and three loops (D, anti-codon, and T loops). Lineage: Bacteria; Pseudomonadati; Pseudomonadota; Gammaproteobacteria; Moraxellales; Moraxellaceae. The record is from RNAcentral. RNAcentral also lists the same sequence under 25 other names.
GGUGAAGUGGGUGAGUGGCUGAAACCAGUUCCCUGCUAAGGAACCAUACCUAAUUACGGGUAUCGAGGGUUCGAAUCCCUCCUUCACCGCCA